AGAUAUAUUUUGCUCCCAAACGCCGCCCUAGAAGAAGGACUACACUGAAAUGAAACGGAGAUGAUUAAAGUCUGAUUUAUAGGCUGUACAAGCCCUGAAAGCAAGAACGGGGUUCACGGCAUCUUGAUACCCCCAUGUGGGGACGUUUUGGCGAUUUUAUUUACAAGAAAGGGAUUUUACACCGGAGAGGCUUUUAAAUAUGCUAACAGACUGGACCAGCUUUCUCAUCCCCACUGGCUGAUUAAUGAUUCCUCCAUGCCAACCCGGUUCUCAGAGACACCAAGGCCAGCUCUCCAAAGACCUGGGAAAAAAUUACUUCAUGUCCUUGUAAAAACGUUUUCACAAAUUUAAGUGCACCAGCUUUGAAGCAAGACAGAAUUGGGAUCAAGUCCCUGUUCCACCCUUACCAGAAAGUCUUUUCGUAGCUCACAAGGGGACAUCAAAGAUGACAAAGAGGAGUGGAAGAAGACAGAGAGAAUCAAUGUGAGGAGCCUGGAACAGGGCUCUGAAUUGUCUUCCCACAGUGAAAUCACUUGUCUAUUGCUGAGCCAAGAAUUUGACUCUGAGCAUCUAGGAUGAGAAAGAAGAACUGGCACCUACGCCAUCUCUGCCCCUCGGGACUGACUAUUUUG
RNAcentral lists this long non-coding RNA (632 nucleotides) under Homo sapiens (human). RNAcentral describes it as "non-protein coding lnc-UBLCP1-2:1". The record is from RNAcentral. Lineage: Eukaryota; Metazoa; Chordata; Mammalia; Primates; Hominidae.